UGGGGAAUUUUGGACAAUGGGGGAAACCCUGAUCCAGCCAUCCCGCGUGUGCGAUGAAGGCCUUCGGGUUGUAAAGCACUUUUGGCAGGAAAGAAACGUCAUGGGUUAAUACCCCGUGAAACUGACGGUACCUGCAGAAUAAGCACCGGCUAACUACGUGCCAGCAGCCGCGGUAAUACGUAGGGUGCAAGCGUUAAUCGGAAUUACUGGGCGUAAAGCGUGCGCAGGCCGUUCGGAAAGAAAGAUGUGAAAUCCCAGAGCUCAACUUUGGAACUGCGUUUUUAACUACCGGGCUAGAGUGUGUCAGAGGGAGGUGGAAUUCCGCGUCUAGCAGUGAAAUGCGUAGAUAUGCGGAGGAACACCGAUGGCGAAGGCAGCCUACUGAGAUAACACUGAUGCUAAUGCACGAAAGCGUGGGGAGCGAACAGG
Molecule: ribosomal RNA, 429 nt
Filed under: Acidobacteriota bacterium
Lineage: Bacteria; Pseudomonadati; Acidobacteriota
Description: Acidobacteria bacterium partial 16S ribosomal RNA
Rfam family: Bacterial small subunit ribosomal RNA
Source: RNAcentral